GCGUUGUUCGGAAUUAUUGGGCGUAAAGGGUGCGUAGGCGGCUUGAUAAGUUUCAUGUGAAAUCUCUGGGCUCAACCCAGAGUCUGCAUGGAAAACUGUCGGGCUUGAGUAUUGGAGAGGUGAGUGGAAUUUCCGGUGUAGCGGUGAAAUGCGUAGAUAUCGGAAGGAACACCUGUGGCGAAAGCGGCUCACUGGACAAUAACUGACGCUGAUGCACGAGAGCUAG
This 226-nucleotide ribosomal RNA is filed under the name uncultured bacterium. Its description in RNAcentral is "partial 16S ribosomal RNA". It matches the Rfam family "Bacterial small subunit ribosomal RNA", at positions 538 to 763 of the family's 1533-position model. The record is from RNAcentral.